CCUGUUAUUAUUGCACCUGUAAGAAACCAGUUUAAAGGACAUUCGGAAUUCGGAGAUAAGUCAUUUUGUUUUAAUGUCAAUCAGUAUUUUAUAUCUGAUUAAUGAUGUGUUAUGUAUUAGCUGUAUCUAAUUUGAGAAUAAAUAAUACAUCUAAAUUCACGUUAUUAGACUGAGCAACUGCUCCGGUAUCAUACGAUAUGCAAGUAUUUGACAACUAAUUUACAGUCAGUCAAAUUCUCGAAGUAAUGCUGUUCUAAUUGGAUGUUUCAUAUUUUAAUGGCUAUGCAGGAUUCACAUUUGUGCAUGGACGACGGAGGGAAUUCCUAUAGUGCCCCGAUGUUCCACCAGUAGGGGACUAAAAACAAGAACAUCAUUCCACUAAAAAAGUCAUGUUUCAAGAGUCUCCGCAAAUCAAAUACCUACAAUAUUAGAUCUAAUGCAUAUUUGCUUCGAAGACGUAAGAAACUGAUGAAAAUGCCAAGUUGACAACACAAGGAAUGGCGACGAAGGACGAUGAUAUUACACGGAGUCAUGAGCUGUAUAUAAGACAUAUCUCGCUGUUGGGAAAAGCUGUACCCUUAGCUUUAAAGACUGUGAUUACAAAGAUAGAAGGAAAACACGGAAAGACUCUUGAUUCUAUUCUAACAGAAAAGAAAGAUACCAUCAAAACAUUUAACUACGACUUGUUUAAAGCAUUGUUUAAAGAAGAUGAAGAAAGUGUUAAUACGGAGAUAGAAUCAUGGGGAUUAUCUACUCUCUGUGGUGUGAUUUUCGUUUUAUCAGAAAGUUCUGAACUUGACUGCGUCAGUUGUAUUUCUGGCCAACUAAGAGAUGUUGAAAAGUACACUCAUUCUGCCUCACUGGAAUACAAUACAUAUAGGCAGAAAUGGGAGUCGCUUUGCGAAUCCUUGCUUAAGCUUGUCAAAGGAAGUAAAGCCGAAUAUGAAUGCAAA
This is a long non-coding RNA of Mercenaria mercenaria, 953 nucleotides long. RefSeq lists it as uncharacterized. Lineage: Eukaryota; Metazoa; Mollusca; Bivalvia; Venerida; Veneridae. The transcript is spliced from 4 exons. The record is from RefSeq and is a predicted model, not a curated record.